UGCUGUUAGGGCUUUUAUGGUUCCUCUUCUACGUUUGCACACUACUAAAAAUUUGACCGCAGUGUAUGUUAUCCGGAAAAUUUAAAACAAUUUAAUUUUUAAGAUUCUUUUAUUUUGAAUCAUAUUUAUUUCUUGGUAUUUGGCUUUUUGAUUUUAGUACCACAACAAAACGUACCAAUUCAGCCAAGCUGUUUGGCAAUUGUGACAUGACAAACCUAUAUAAUAUAUUGCCGUCAUAAUAUGCACGAAAAUCUAAACAUUCAGAAAAAUAUAUGUAUGUAUAUACGCAAUAAUACAAAAGCAACCAAUUUAUAUAGUAUACUAAUUUUGCUACAGUUAUAUCGAACAAACUUACACAUUUGUACGAAUCCCAUGGGAACUUUAAAUACAUAAGUAACACAAAAUUAAAAUCUGAUAUCGCCCAUUGUAAAAUUAUGUGUUUAUAUUGGAGUACUUCAAGGACGGGCUGAGUUUUAUAUUUUCAUAGCCAUUAGUAAAGCAAAAAUAAUAGAUUACAUAUGUAUAUAAUUACAAAGUGAAUUUCGCAAAUAUGUGGAUGUUUAUGAAUAACAAAAUCGUGAUCAUUCUCUCAACAGAUGAGUCAAGGCAAAUGUCUACCGUUUCUGUACCCACAAGUGGAGUCAUACAAGCGUUGAACUAGGAAGUGAAAAUCAAGAGGAAGCACCAAAAAAUAUCAUGUAAUCAAUAAGUGACUUAAAUAUAAAAGGAUUAUUAAAAACAAAUGAUUAUUGGAUAAAUACAUUACUGUAGAUAAAUAUGCACACAUAUUUUUAACCAUUACGGUUUUUUAAUAAUAAUGCAUCAUGAUUGGUAAAAAUUUA
Long non-coding RNA from Bactrocera dorsalis (oriental fruit fly), 842 nucleotides. RefSeq lists it as uncharacterized. The transcript has 2 exons. The record is from RefSeq and is a predicted model, not a curated record. Lineage: Eukaryota; Metazoa; Arthropoda; Insecta; Diptera; Tephritidae.